Molecule: long non-coding RNA, 1133 nt
Organism: Raphanus sativus (radish)
Lineage: Eukaryota; Viridiplantae; Streptophyta; Magnoliopsida; Brassicales; Brassicaceae
Exons: 6
Source: RefSeq, a predicted model, not a curated record
AAACAAACCUAAGUCUUUUUUUCUAUACUUCGCUUCCUUUUUGUCGGAGAAUCAAAUAAAAGACUUUUCAUCUUCUCUGUUCAUCUCUUUGCGACGCUUUUUAUCAGAGAUCAAAUUGAUGGAUCGAUCUUUGUGAGAAAACGAUGAUUCAAAACCAACAAUGAUACUAAUCCCAACUUCCUCUUCUUCGUCUUACUCUUGUUGUACCCUUCCUCAAGCUUCCUUCAAUUCUAAUUCAUAUCCAUCAAAUCAGUCUCUGUUCCUCUCCAAAUCCGGUUAUCCAAUUCCACAUGAUUGGUAGCUUGAAACAUCAACCAGCAAUGGAAACAGAGGAUGAUGAAUCAGUGAGCAUGAAUGGAAUAGCGUGUUCAAGAUGGAUAUUCUCAAAUAAUAUGCCGUUCGUAAUGAAACAAAAACUCCAAAUUUAGACUCCAGUGACUCAGAAUCGAGGAUCUCAAAGGUUUGAAGUAUUAGCAUCAGAACGGAAUGAAAGUUAUAUAGAGGAGAUAGAGAGAACCAUCUGAUCUGAGCUUACUAAAAAAAAAAGAGUUACAACAGAGGGAGUCUCUGUUUAAGAAAAAAUAACAGAGGGGGUCUGAGAAGAGCUAAGGAGAGAAGAACUGAAUAUGUAUCAAAGGAGAGACAAAGGAAGAACAUGCAAGGUUUCUCUAUGAUGAAAGUUAUAGUAAAAGAUGCAAUCACUUUGCAGAGAUCUCCGGGACAGAGGAUGAAACUUUCCAUUAGGCAGAUGAUACAAAGAGAUAAAGUUCUCAAAUAUUAUGAUGACCAUAGUCCAGAUUACAAAUUUAGACAACGCAUUUGUCGACCAACUGGGACAAAACACGGUGAAAUUUACCUCCUGCUCCAGUUAUUUUAAAGGUGUCAAUGAGCUUCCAUUCACCAACAGGGGGUAACGUUGAACACGAAACAUUUGAGAUCUUUUGCAUGAAGCCUGGAUUUAGCACCCUGAUAAGAAAACACAAUAGAAUAUGGAUCAGUAUUAGUUGAGAAUUGAUAUCUAUCUAUAUAGCAAAAUGAAAUGUAUCUUACAGUUUGGUGUACCAGGACGCACUCAAAACUCUCUCCUCCAUAACUGGUGUUUUGUUUUCAGCAAUGAAACAUUUUUAGAGUUA